CAUAACCGCUCUGUUAUACAGAGAGGAAAGUCCAUGCUCACACAGGCUGAGAUGCUUGUAGUGUUCGUGCUUGACGAAACCAUAAGUCAAGGGAGUUAGCAUCUGCUAAUUUACGGCAGGGAAACAAUCUAAGUCCUUUUGGAUAAGAUUGAAUUACCUUUAAAGUGCCACAGUGACGUAUUUUGAUUGGAAACAAUCAAAGUGGAACGCGGUAAACCCCACGAGUGAGCAACCCAAACGAUGGUAGGGGCACUUUUUGCAGGGAAUUCAACCUAGCAAAAAGGUAAGUCAUUUGACUU
RNAcentral lists this RNase P RNA (299 nucleotides) under Aquisalibacillus elongatus. RNAcentral's name for it is "Bacterial RNase P class B". It matches the Rfam family "Bacterial RNase P class B", at positions 10 to 303 of the family's 365-position model. Rfam says of the family: Ribonuclease P (RNase P) is a ubiquitous endoribonuclease, found in archaea, bacteria and eukarya as well as chloroplasts and mitochondria. Lineage: Bacteria; Bacillati; Bacillota; Bacilli; Caryophanales; Bacillaceae. The record is from RNAcentral.